RNAcentral lists this ribosomal RNA (795 nucleotides) under Thyronectria atrobrunnea. Its description in RNAcentral is "LSU rRNA". It matches the Rfam family "Eukaryotic large subunit ribosomal RNA", at positions 99 to 927 of the family's 3401-position model. Lineage: Eukaryota; Fungi; Ascomycota; Sordariomycetes; Hypocreales; Nectriaceae. The record is from RNAcentral.
CGGCAACAGCUCAAAUUUGAAAUCUGGCCCUUGUGGUCCGAGUUGUAAUUUGUAGAGGAUGCUUUUGGUGCGGUACCUUCCGAGUUCCCUGGAACGGGACGCCAUAGAGGGUGAGAGCCCCGUCUGGUUGGAUACCAAUCCUCUGUAAAGCUCCUUCGACGAGUCGAGUAGUUUGGGAAUGCUGCUCUAAAUGGGAGGUAUAUGUCUUCUAAAGCUAAAUAUUGGCCAGAGACCGAUAGCGCACAAGUAGAGUGAUCGAAAGAUGAAAAGCACUUUGAAAAGAGGGUUAAAUAGUACGUGAAAUUGUUGAAAGGGAAGCGUUUGUGACCAGACUUGGGCUUGGUUAAUCACCCAGCGUUCUCGCUGGUGCACUUUGCCAGCCCAGGCCAGCAUCAGUUUGCUGCGGGGGAUAAAAGUUUCGGGAAUGUGGCUCCUCGGAGUGUUAUAGCCCGUUGCACAAUACCCUGCGGUGGACUGAGGUUCGCGCAUCUGCAAGGAUGCUGGCGUAAUGGUCAUCAACGACCCGUCUUGAAACACGGACCAAGGAGUCGUCUUCGUAUGCGAGUGUUCGGGUGUCAAACCCCUACGCGUAAUGAAAGUGAACGGAGGUGGGAGCCUCGGCGCACCAUCGACCGAUCCUGAUGUUUUCGGAUGGAUUUGAGUAAGAGCAUACGGGGCCGGACCCGAAAGAAGGUGAACUAUGCCUGUAUAGGGUGAAGCCAGAGGAAACUCUGGUGGAGGCUCGCAGCGGUUCUGACGUGCAAAUCGAUCGUCAAAUAUGGGCAUGGGGGCGAA